RNAcentral lists this long non-coding RNA (30268 nucleotides) under Zea mays. RNAcentral's name for it is "long non-coding RNA (ZMAY_LNC001642)". The record is from RNAcentral. Lineage: Eukaryota; Viridiplantae; Streptophyta; Magnoliopsida; Poales; Poaceae.
AUGCUAGGUUGAGUAGCUGCUUUACUAAUUAGGAUCUCGGUAGAAGUCGAGUGAUUUUUCUAGCACUCGCGCGAGGUCAGGACAUUGAUUGUACCCACUUUCAUAUCAUACUGAUGUUGGUCUGUGGACACGGAUCCAUGGGGAUGCGUGGUCUACGAGAUAAAAUUUGAAUAAGGAUUAAUGUGCGGAUACCUGUGUCAAGCGAUUGAACGUACUAAGCACAUGCCGAGAAAUAUGGUAAAUCGGUAAGCCUAGUACCUGAGUGAACCUGGAAGUGGACAUAUCCCCUCACGCGACCUGAGACGUGGUCUCCCAUUCCGGUUAUGGUGGGUACAAGUGCGGUCACUGCACGAUGGCAGUCGGGGUCAGUGAGGCAUUGUAUGCCAAGGCAGUGAGCCCUGAUCUGCUGACGGGGAAUCGAUGGGGACGAUUGAUGUGUGUGGGGACGGAGUGCCUCGCCAUGUCGUGUGUUUAGGUUUACCUUGCAAGGUUUAAAAACUCGAUUCGAAUCAUCUGCUUUUCGCAGCUAAUGAGACUGCUAGAUCCAUUGUACUGGAUCGAGUAACAAGUGGAAAUGUGAUGAUGGGGCAAAAGAUGUCGAUUGCUAAAUAUGCUUGAUACCAUGAAUGAGUAGAUAGUACACAUUUAGUCUUAAGAGAGUCACACUUAAACUUGACAAAGCUAAAACUUGAUUUUUAGACUCAGCUAGUGCUUUUGGCAACCAAACCCCUCAGCCAAACAGCUGCAUGUCUAGAGGUAGAGGAGUAGACUCCUCACACCGGGUAAGUCUAGCUGAGUAUUAGUAUACUCAGCCUUGCUUGUGGCAUAAUUUUACAGGUUCUCUGGAGGACAUGGUUGCUGGAGUGACUUGGCCGUCCAUCUUGCCACCAGGUUGGGCAGUCGAGUGGGACCCUACCACGGCUGAGGAGGAGCAUGAGGAGUGAUGGGACAGGCUUCCGCAUCUCUUUGUUUAUUUACCGUUAGUUUUAUUUCGCUGCACUUCAAACAAUGAUGACUACUUUUGCUAAAACUCCGAUGAUGAUGUAAUAAGUUUAAUACUCUUGAAUGUAUGGUUUUAUGCUUUAUUGUAUUUGCUCUGUGACUCACCAUCGAGUGAGAUUGUGGUACAUGAUCCUGUCAGUGGCCUCGUCGGACUAGAUCCGAGGGAUUGACGGGUUAUUCCCAUUUAGGUGUCGUCUAGCCUCUAAGGCGGGACUUAGGCACUUAAGUUGGAAUAAUUCGGGCAGUUCCACCACAGCUGGUAUCGGAGCUUGUACCACCACAGAGGAAUCGAUAAACUAUAAAUACCAUCCUUUUUCAAAGUAAAAACUGGUUAGAAACAAAUAUUGGAUAGAUUGUCAGGACGAUAAGGAUAGACCUAGGACGUGGAGCCUUAGGAUAAUAGAGGGGUAGCUAGGUGGCUAUUUGAGUAAGCCCUACCGGCUACUAUAAGGGAUGGGAGUUCUUUCCUAUUCCCUCUAAGUUGAUGUGAGGUCGUUCAGGACGAGCAUGCAUGCAUCCUUAAUUAAACUACUUAAUAAUUGGGGUAAGAACCUUAAUACACAAUGAUGACCAAUUUAAGUACCCCAGUACCAUUAUCGUAGUUAUAGAGAGGCAGAGUUGUGAUCCCCUUUCUUUUUAUAAUUCUUUUUCCUUUACUUACGCUUAACCGUACACAUAUGACUUCUCACGGAUCCUCGGAUGAAGGGAAUGCACUGUCCCACACUAACGGGCUUGCAAGAGAGGGUUUCCCCGGUAUCUUGUGGGAGGUACUUCAGGGAGCUGGUUACACGACGCCUCCCCAGUACGCGGUGCAGCAGUUCGAGAAGCACCGAGUGCUCCACUGUAAGGUGAGGAUGACCCUAGAGCCUCAUCCCCUACAACCAGGCUGGUGUUCGCUGGACUCUGAGUCUUUUGGAUACCGGGCUGAGGAUACUAUGGAGGCAAUUGCUCUUCACGGACUGACCACCUUCUGCGGAUUCCACCCCUUGGAGCUAUCCACUCACCCCAUUGGCUUGUUCCCCGCGGAAAAGGAGGACGACCCAAUGUGGAAGGACCGAGUGGAGCAUGCCAAGGAUAUCUGGGCUAUCUACCCAGGUCAGACUGCUCACUUGACGGUGCAGUGCAUGAAUGCCCUGUAUCAUCUACAAGUGAUGCGUGGAGAGGCGAUGUCCCAUCUAAUGGCAUUAUUGGAGGCUACCAAGAUCACUUUGGAUAACAGAGAGGAACUUGUGGUUGACUUGUCCACUAAGAUGGUGGAAAAAGACCUACAGGUGGAACAAUUGUCCAAUGAGAUCCAAGAGCUUGAGGAGCUAGUGGGAACCAGGGAGAACACUAUCGAGGUUCUCGAGGAUCAGCUUAUCAACACUCAGCAGCAACUCGCGGAGGCUAACUAGCAUCUGGAUAUGCACCACCAGGAGAUCCAGGACAUGGAGGCCAACGAGGAUGUCGACAUCGAGGGAGGAGAGGAGCCUACCUCCAGCUUGGACACUGCUGGCUCAGGGAGACCACCUUCCCCUGAGUCGAGCGUUGCCUCGUUUGCUCACUAGGUCGUAGGGAUAGAGUUAGAAGUCUGUGACAGUAGAACUCCUCGAAGCUAGCUUAGCUUUUGCACCCUUGGGGUACUAGGCUAGAUAGAGUUGAGUCUUUUGAGUUACUGAUGUAAUCAUGACAAACUCUUUUGGAAGCAUGGUUGAUGAAUGCUGUCAGUCUUAAUUUAAGAAGAAAAGUUUAGACCAUGUGGAAUCUUUUAUAAUUAUGCAAAAAUAUAUUAGUUUCACCCUUUUGACUCUUUCACCACGAUUGAACCUUGAACCUCAGAAAUGUGAUAUUGAAAAUAUAUAUGAUUUUUUAGAUGGCAGGAAGAGCGCGUCGUGGUCAGAAUGAGCGCGUUCCUCCACCACCGCCACCACCUCCUACUCUGCAGGAGCUGAUGGCUCAGCAGAACAAGAUCUUGAGACAGCUAGCUCAGCGUCAGCCACCACUCAGCACUAUGGUGGUGGUGAUCAUCAGCGUCACCCCGCAGCAGCCACUUAUCAGGAGUUCCUCAGUACCCAGCCACCGUUGUUCACCAGGGCCGAGGACCCCCUUGAUGCUGAUGUAUGGCUGAGAGUAGUGGAAUCCAAAUUCCCGCUACUCCAUGGAGUCUGUUCAGAGGUGACUAAGGUCAGGUUCGCCACCUAGCAGCUUCGUGGACCCGCACGGACAUGGUGGGACCACUAUCUUGCUAUGCAGCCAGCUGACCAUGAAGUGGAAUGGAGAGAGUUCAACGCAGCUUUCAGGGGGCACCAUAUACCAGCAGGCAUUAUGGACCGAAAGCUCAACGAGUUUCUGGCACUCACUCAGGGAAACCGGACAGUGUUAUAGUAUGCUCAGGCCUUUAAUGACCUGUGUUAGUAUGCCGGAUAUCACGCAGACAUGGACGAGAAGAAGAGGGACAGGUUCAGGAGGGGGCUCAGCACUAAGCUCCGUGACCGUCUCAACACAGUCAGGGCCAACAACUACAAGGAGUUAGUUAACAUGGCCAUUUCUCAAGAGGAUUGUAUCACAGCUCGUGAGGUAGAAAAGAAGAGGAAGACCCCUGUGGCAGGACCAUCAGCUCAGCCACAUCGCUUCAGGAUCGUGUCUGACACUCAGAACAGGGGACCCCAGCAGCAACAAGGACGUUGGGUGAUCCGGCCACAGCAGCAGCAGCAAGCACCCAAUCGCACCCAGUUUCUAGUUCAGAGGAACAAUCAGCCAUAGCAGUAGCAGUACCGUCAGGCCAAUGACAACAGGUGUUUCACUUGUGGUAACACCGGACAUUAUGCCAAGAAUUGCCCCAGAAACCAGCAGUGGUAGGGGCAGAAUGCCAACCAGAACCAAGGCAAGAGGCAGAAAGUGCAAGUGAGGCAGGGCAGACUGAACUUCACCACCAUGACUGACAUUCCAGAGGGAGCACCCGUCAUGACUGGUAUCUUUUCAGUUUUGAAUUAUCCUGCUAUUAUUCUUUUUGAUUCUGGUGCAUCACAUAGUUUUAUCAGUGCAAAAUUUAGUGCCAAGUGCCAAUUACCUUUUCACCACACAAAUGGGGGUAUUACAAUUUCCACGCCAGGAGGCAGGGUUGCCACCUACCAAAUCAACAAGAAUGUGCCUAUAAAGUUUGGUAGUUUGAUAAUCAAAACCAACCUCCUCAUUUUGGGUUUGGAUAGUGUGGAUAUCAUAUUGGGAACUGAUUGGUUAUCCAGGCAUCUGGGAGUACUUGAUAUUGCAGCAAGGGCCAUUGAGAUUCACUCCCCUUCUUGUGGCGAGACUACUUUAUAUUUGCCUGAGCAGGGUUGUACCCGCUCUUGUGCAUUCACCAUGAUAGAGUCCCAGUUGAGAGCAUCCCUGUGGUCUGUGACUACCCAGAUGUCUUUCCUGAUGAAUUGCCGGGAAUGCCACCCGACAGAGGCAUAGAAUUCGUGAUUGAAUUGCAGCCUGGGACUGCUCCUAUAUCCAAGAGGCCUUAUAGGAUGCCUCCAGCGGAAUUGGCGGAAUUGAAAAAGCAACUGCAAGAGUUGUUGGACAAGGGGUUCAUUCGCCCGAGUACCUCACCGUGGGGAUGUCCAGCCUUAUUUGUGAAGAAAAAGGAUGAGAGUUUGAGAAUGUGUGUCGAUUACCGCCCUCUCAAUGCGGUGACCAUCAAGAACAAAUACCCACUGCCCCACAUUGAUGUUUUGUUUGAUCAAUUGGUGGGAGCCAAAGUGUUCUCCAAGUUAGACCUUCGCUCGGGCUACCAUCAGAUCAAGAUCCGUGCCAGUGAUAUUCCGAAGACGGCUUUUUCUACCAGAUAUGAGCUUUAUGAGUUUUUGGUGAUGUCUUUUGGGCUGACCAAUGCCCUGGCUUAUUUCAUGUAUCUAAUGAACUCAGUAUUCAUGCCAGAGUUGGACAAAUUUGUGGUGGUUUUCAUUGAUGAUAUUCUGGUCUAUUCCAAGAAUGAAGACGAGCAUACUGAGCAUCUUCACAUCGUGCUUCAGCGACUGCGUGAUCAUCGUUUGUAUGCUAAGUUGUCUAAAUGUGAAUUCUGGCUGAGGGAAAUUAAAUUAUUGGGUCACACAAUUUCUCAGGAUGGGAUAUCAGUUGAUCCUGAUAAGGUACAAGAAGUAAUGGAUUGGAAACCUCCUACUACAGUGCGACAGAUUCGGAGUUUUCUGGGAUUGGCAGGGUAUUAUCGACGAUUCAUUCCGGAUUUCUCCAGAAUUGCCAAGCCAAUGACUGAAUUGUUGAAGAAAGGAGUCAAGUAUGAUUGGAGCCAGAAGUGUGAGGAUGCCUUUCAUACACUAAGGCAGCACUUGACAACAGCACCAGUGCUGGCUCAACCUGAUAACACCAAGCCCUUUGAAGUUUAUUGUGAUGCUUCCCGUACUGGAUUGGGAUGUGUCUUAAUGCAAGACAACAGAGUAAUUGCUUAUGCCUCCCGAGCACUUAGACCCCAUGAGCAUAACUACCCCACACAUGAUCUAGAGUUAGCAGCCGUGGUUCAUGCUCUCAAGAUAUGGAGACAUUACUUGAUGGGAGCUCACUGCAACAUUUACACUGAUCAUAAGAGUCUCAAAUACAUUUUCACUCAGGCUGAUCUUAAUAUGAGGCAAAUAAGAUGGUUAGAGCUAAUCAAGGACUAUGAUUUGGAGGUGCAUUACCAUCCUGGCAAGGCCAAUGUUGUGGCAGAUGCCUUAAGCAGGAAGGCCCAGUGCAAUUGUAUGAACAUGGAUGCAAGAGUCACCACCCUAUGUGAUGAGUUGUGCAAACUAAAUCUAGAAGUCGUUUCCUUCGGUGCUUUGAAUUAUAUUCAGUAGAGCCCACAUUACAAGAGCAAAUAGUCAUGGCACAGAUUGGAGACAAGGGUGUUCAGGUUAUCAAGGAAAUGAUCGAACAGAAAGUAGGAAAAUACAAAUGAUUCUGUCAGGACAGCAAAGGAAUUCUAUGGUUUGGAGACCGACUGGUUGUCCCCAAGAACCCUGAGCUUAUAAAGAAGAUAUUGGAUGAAGCUCACCUUUCAAAAUUUUCCAUGCAUCCCGGCAGUAACUGUAACACCCCAAGUGUUACCAUGGCUAUGGCACAUCUAUACACUAAUGACUGUGAUCACAUGUGGAAGAAACUUAAGGAGAAGAGCAUAAGAACCUUGGAGAUCAUGUAUUAACCAAGAAUGUUAAUGACCUAAAAGCAUUACUCAAGCUUUUGUGCACUUACCACCUUGGGCAAGAAGGGAGUAAACCCUGGACCUCUCUUGAACCCCUAUCUCCUAAAACCAUGGUUGAAGGGGGAGAGAUUAAGCAAAUGUGCAAAUCAUGACCUAACCUUUGGCUAAAGUUAAGUGACAUAUUAAUCAACAAAUAUAGAGAGGAAACAUUGCAAAAAGACCCCUUAAGAAACCCCAAAUACAUUCUCUAAGUAGAGAAAGAGCUAGAGCUCUCUAAUUCUCUCUAAGUCAAAAUCUACACCUAAUCUAAAGAUCCACCGUGUUCACCUUGAAGAUGGCACCAAAACCACCUAAGUUCUAUACCAAAAAUGUGGCAUACCACCUAAGGCACCCCCUGGAAAAAGUUGAGACCGAGCCCUUGACGUUUGACAUGUCUUGACAUCGUUUUUGUCGCGAAGUGGGCAGGGAGACAAGCCAGAUUUGGCGUCCGCAUAUCUUCUGACCUAGGGCUUAUCUUCCCUUGGAACUCACAUACAAGAGAUAGCCAUAGGUGCCAGGAAGAGAUCUGCGCUGGAUUUUUGCCAAGAUUCGCACGUAUGCGAUCUCAGCAAGCUUUUGAACAUGGGCAGAAGAACACCUCCACGUGUUCGAAGCGCUCUGCGCGCGCCAGAGCACGCCCGCGCCCAACCCCGCGCGCCCCGCUCCACGCCAAGCUGUGCCCGCGUCUCCUCGCGCCCGCGCCUAUAAAGCACCCUCGGGCGUCGACCGUACUCCUCCGCGCACGCUCGACCUCACCGGAGCCCGAAACCACCGGCGUUUGCCCCGUGCACGGCGUGCCCGCGACCACCUGAGCCCCUGCCACCGUAGACCGGCCAACAAAGCCCUUCCCAGCCACGCCCGACCCUUGGAAGAGAAUGUGCACGCCUUGAUGAAGCUCCCCGAGCAAGGAAUCAGAGUUUGCUUCGCCGGAGAAGCCAGUCCACGGUCGCCGGACUUCGCCCGACCGCCGGUGAAUGUAGACCGGGUAAUCCUCUGCUCCAUUCUUCGAUUCCUUGUGCACAUAGCCUCAGCGUCACCCCGAGAAGCUCAUCGUGACACUUGAUUGAACUAGAUCAUCGUGGUUUAGCCGGAACACCCGCCGCCGACGAGAUCACCCGCCUGCGCACGUGGACCGGGCGAUUCCGGCCACCUCCGCCGUCGAGCCGUACAUCGUUGUGACCGCCAGGACCUCCCGGAGCCAACUCGGCCCCUCGCCGGACCUCUCUCGCCGCUGGUAAGCCGUGCCGCCCUUUUCAUUUCCGCGGGUACUGUUUAAACCUAGGGAGGGACCGCGAGGGAGAAGAAGAAAAGGCUAGGGAGUUUUGCGAAUUGUCAGUGACUCAGGGGAAUAGUAGCGCAGGGAUAUAACUGAGAGGAUUAGUUUGGAAACAACCCGAGGACUUCGGUGCAAAGUGGUUUUUCCAGGAAACCUUUUAUUUAAUCUGAUUUAAAUUCAAACAGAACUUGAAUAAUUCAUAUCUUCUGUUUUAUUCACCCAAAUCCAGUCAAACCAAUUUUGCCAGAUCUUAAAUAAUGUAAACAACUUAAGAAAAAUAUAAAACCCCUAGUGUUACAGAAAACUUUAAGGUUCUGAUUUAAAUAUUGAUUUGGCCAAAAGCUGAAUAAUAGGAGGAAAAAUAGUUGCACUGUUAGACUGAGGCUAAGAAAAUUUGGAGAAGUACCUAAUUACUUCCUAACCUGUUUAAAAAUAAUAAACUCUUCUGUACACCCAGUUAAGAUAGAGUUUACCAUUUAAACCCUUUUUAGCCUAAAGUUAAAGAAAAUAUUAAUGAAGGUUUAAAUAAGGAACCAGGGAGCACCCAUAUUUUUGUUAGUCUACUUAUUCAGUAUAGUUCACUAGAAAAAUUUAUUAUACUCUGGUUUAGUACAAAAUAAUUGGGAAACCUUUUAUUUUAAGAAAACAAGGAAAACUUAGAAAAACCCUAGAAAAAUAACCCCAAAAUGAAAACACCCCAAACCUUGGGAUAAUUAAUGUUUUGUUAUUACGAACAUAGGAAAAAUAUGAAAUCUGCUGUUUGACAUUUUUCAAAUAACAAGAUAGUAGAAAGUGCCUUUUUGACAUUAAACUUUAGAAAAUUCCAACUAAAUAACCAAAAAUUAACCUUCUGUGAUUUUUGGCACAGAGGCUUGUGAUUACUGUUAGAUACCAACAAAAAUUACCCUUAAGACAGAACCCACCCCUAGUUAAGAGUUGUAGUGCAAAGUGACCCCCUUUGCCCAACUUUUGUUAUUUUUGUCCAAGGCAUACUCUUUUUAUGCUGGACCUCAAAUUCAUAGAACAAACUAUAGUGACCAAUGACAACCCACUGUAAUUUUUAUAAAAUUUUUGGAACAAGUUAAACCACUGUUGUAGUUCAAACCCACACUAGAAUUCAUAAUUAGAAAUGAAAAAGGGGAAAUUGAUAAUGAAAACUUCUGUCACCCUAACCCAACUAGCAAAACCCUUUUUAAUUUGCCCACUAAAAUAUGUAAGGGAAAAAUACAAAUCCACUAUGCUUAUUCUCCACAACACCUAAACCUAGAGUGAUAAGCAUAAACCACUAAAAGCCACGUAUGACCAAGAAACCAUAAGUUGCUAACUAACUUAGUUCUUCUUCCUUUAGCAUAAUGUUGUUAAAUCCUGCAUAAUCAUGACAUGCAUAUUCUUAUUCAUUGCAUUCGAUAGACUGCAACCUCGCUGACGGAGAGUACGUCCUCGUGCCAGAGCAAGGUGUUGCUCAGGAGGUAGCCCCGGAUCCAGCACCAGAGCCUGCACCAGAGGAUCUGCCUGCCACAGCUUUGGAAGGCAAGCCCCGGUUUUAUGCAUAACCUGUUCUAUAUACUAUUUUACUACACUUAAUGAUUGUAGGAUUGAAUGUGCACUUAAGUGUAGGAGUUGUUUGGAACCCUAGUUGCAUGAUCUCAGGAAUCCCAUUGAGAUGAAUACUAGUAAGCUAAGUCGAGUAGCUGCUUUAUGAAUUAGGGAUUUCGGUAGAAGUCGAGUGAUUUUUCUAGCACUCGUGCGAGGUCGGGAAAUUGGUUGUAUCCACUUUCUUAUCAUAAUGAUGCUGGUUUGUGGACAACAAUCCAUGGGGAUUGGUUGUCCAUAGGAUAAAAAUUGGAAUAAGGAUUAAGGUGUGGUACCGUGUGUCAAGCGUUUGAACGUACUAAGCACAUGCCGAGAGAUAUGGUAAAUCGGUAAGCCUAGUACCUGAGUGAACCUAGCAGUGGACAUAUCCCCUCACGUGACCUGAGACGAGGUCUCCCAUUCCGGUUAUGGUGGGUACAAGUGCGGUCACUGCACGAUGGCAGUCGGGGUCAGUGAGGCAUUGUACGCCAAGGCGGUGAGCCCUGAUCUGCUGACGGGGAAUCGAUGGGGACGGUUGAUGUGUGUGGGGACGGAGUGCCCCUACAUGUCGUGUGUUUAGGUUUACCUUGCAAGGAUAAAAACUCGAUUUGAAUCGUCUGCUUCUCGCAGCUAAUGAGACUGCUUGAUCCAUGCUGCUACAUUGAGUAACAAGUGGAAAUGUGAUAAGUUGAUACAAGAUGUUGAUUGCUAAAUAUGUUUGAUACUAUGUAUGAGUAGAUAGUACACAUUAAGCCUUAAGAGAGUCACACUUAAACUUGACAAAGCUAAAACUUGAUUUACAAACUCAGCUAGUGCUUUUGGCAACCAAACCCCACAGCCAAACAGCUGCAUGUCCAGAGGUAGAGGAGUAGACUCCUCACACCGGGUAAAUCUAGCUGAGUAUUAGUAUACUCAGCCUUGCUUGUGGCAUAAUUUUUUUUACAGGUUCUUUGGAGGACAUGGUUGCUGGAGUGACUUGGCCAUCCAUCUUGCCACCGGGUUGGACUAUCGAGUGGGAUCCUGCCUCGGCUGAGGAGGAGCAUGAGGAGUGAAGGGACAGGCUUCCCCAUCCCUCUGUUUAUUUAUCGUUAGUUUCAUUCCGCUGCACUUCGUACAGUAAUGAUUACUUUUGCAAAAACUCUGAUGAUGAUGUAAUAAUUUAAUACUCCUUAAUGUAUGGUUAUGCUUUAUUGUAUUUGCUCUGUGACUCACCAUCGAGUGAGACUGUGGUACUUGAUCCUGUCAGUGGCCUCGUCGGACUAGAUCCGAGGGAUUGACGAGUUAUUCCCAUUUAAGUGUGGUCUAGCCUUUGAGGCGGGACUUAGGCACUUAAGUUGGAAUAAUUCGGGCAGUUCCGCCACAGCUGGUAUCGGAGCUUGUACCACCACAGAGGAAUCAAUAAACUAUAAAUACCAUCCUUUUUCAAAGUAAAACUUGAUAGAAACAAAUGAUGGAUAGAUCGUAGGACGAUCAGGAUAGACCUAGGAUGGAAGCCUUAGGAUGAUAGAAGGGUAGUUAGGUGGCUAAGUGAUUAAGCCCUACAGACUACUAUAAGGGAUGGGAGUUCUUCCCUAUUCCCUUUACAUUGAUGUGAGGUCGUUCAGGACGAGCAUGCAUGCAUUCUUAAGUAAACUAAUGGAUAAUUGGGUAAGGACUUUAAUACAAAAUGAUUACCAACUAAGUACCCUAGUAUCAUUGUUGUAGUUAGAAAGAGGCUGAGUUGUGAUUCCUUUUUCUUUUUAUAAUUCUUUUUCUUUUACUUACGCUUAACCGUACACAGAUGACUUCCCACGGAUCCUCGGACGAAGGGAAUGCACUGUCCCACACUGACGGGCUUGCACGAGAGGGCUUUCAUCGUAUUUUGUGGGAGGUACUUUAGGGGGCCGGUUACACGACGCCUCCUCAGUACGCGGUGCAGCGGUUCGAGAAGCACCGAGUGCCCCGCUGUAGGGUGAGGAUGACCCUGGAGCCUCAUCCCCUGCAGCCAGGCUGGCGUUUGCUGGACUCUGAGUCCUUUGGAUACCGGGCUGAGGAUACGAUCGAGGCGAGUGCUCUACACGGAUUGACCACUUUCUGCGGAUUCCACCCCUUGGAGCUGUCCACCCACCCCAUUGGCUUGUUCCCCGCUGAGAAGGAGGAUGACCCAAUGUGGAAGGACCGAGUGGAGCAUGCCAAGGACAUCUGGACUAUCUACCCAGGUCAGACUGCUCACUUGACAGUACGGUGCAUGAAUGCCCUGUACCGUCUGCAAGUGAUGCGUGGUGAGGCAAUGUCCCAUCUAAUGGCAUUGUUGGAGGCAACUAAGAUCACCCUGGAUAACAGAGAGGAGCUUGUGGUUGACUUGUCCACAGAGAUGGUGGAAAAGGACUUACAGGUGGAACAACUGUCAAAUGAGAUCCAAGAGCUUGAGGAAUUAGAAGGGACCAGGGAGAACACCAUCGAGGUUCUCGAGGAUCAGCUUAUCAACACUCAGCAGCAGCUUGCGGAGGCUAACGAGCACCUGGAUAUGCAUCAUCAGGAGAUCCAGGACAUGGAGGCCAACGAGGAUGUCGACAUUGAGGGAGGAGAGGAGCCUGCCUCCAGCUUGGACACUGCUGGCUCAGGGAGACCACCUUCCCCCGAGUCGAGUGUUGCCUCGUUCACUCACUAGGUAUCAGGGAUAGAGCUAGAAGUCGGUGAUGGUAGAACUCCUCGAAGCUAGCUUAGCUUUUGCACCACUAGGGUACUAAGCUAGAUAGAGUUGAGUAUUUUGGGCUAUUAAUGUAAUCGCGAUAAACUCUUUUGGAAGAAUGGUUGAUGAAUGAUGUCAGUCUUAAUUUAAGAAGGGAAUUUUUGCCAUGUGAAACCUUUUAUGAUUAUGCAAGAAUCUAUCCGUUUCGCCUUUUGACUCUUUCAUCGCGCUUGAACCUUGAACCUCAAAGAUGUGUAUUAAAAAUAUAUGUGAUUUUUCAGAUGGCCGGGAGAGCGCGUCGUGGUCAAAAUGAGCGUGUUCCUCCACCGCCGCCACCGCCUACUACUCUGCAGGAGCUAAUGGCCCAGCAGAAUGAGAUCUUGAGGCAGCUAGCUCAGCGUCAGCCGCCACCUCAGCACUAUAGUGGUGGUGAUCAUCAGCGUCACCCCGCAGCAGCCACCUACCAGGAGUUCCUCAGUACCCAGCCACCAUUGUUCACCAGGGCAGAGGACCCACUUGAUGCGGAUGUAUGGUUGAGAGUAGUGGAAUCCAAAAUUCCCGCUACUCCAUGGAGUUUGCUCAGAGGUCACUAAGGUCAGGUUCGCCACCCAGUAGCUUCGCGGACCCGCACGGACAUGGUGGGACCAUUUUCUUGCUAUGCAGCCAGAUGACCGAGAGGUGGAAUGGAGAGAGUUCAAGGCAGCUUUCAGGGGGCACCAUAUACCAGCAGGCAUUAUGGACCGAAAGCUCAACGAGUUUCUGGCACUCACGCAAGGGAACCGGACAGUGUUACAGUAUGCUCAGGCCUUCAAUGACCUAUGCCAGUAUGCCGGAUAUCAUGCAGACACGGACGAGAAGAAGAGGGACAGGUUCAGAAGGGGGCUCAGCACUAAGCUCCGUGAGCGUCUCAACACCAUCAGGGCCAACAGUUAUAAUGAGUUGGUCAACAUGGCCAUUUUUCAGGAGGACUGUAUCACGGCUCGUCAGGCAGAGAAGAAGAGGAAGACCCCUGUGGUAGGACCUUCAGCUCAGCCACAGUGUUUCAGGAUUGUGUCUGACACUCAGAACAGGGGACCGCAGCAGCAGCAAGGACGUUGGGUGAUCCGACCGCAACAGCAGCAGCAGGCACCCAACCGCACCCAGUUUCCAGCUCAGAGGAAUAAUCAACAGCAGCAGCAACUUCGUCAGGCUAAUGACAACAGGUGUUUCACAUGUGGCAACACUGGACAUUAUGCCAAGAAUUGCCCCAGAAACCAGCAGAGGUAGGGGCAGAAUGUUAAUCAGAACCAAGGCAAGAGGCAGAAGGUGCAAGUGAGGCAAGGCAGGCUGAACUUCACCACCAUGGCUGAUAUUCCAGAGGGAGCACCCGUCAUGACUGGUAUCUUUACAGUUUUGAAUUAUCCUGCUAUUAUUCUUUUUGAUUCUGGUGCAUCACAUAGUUUUAUCAGUGCCAAAUUUAGUGCCAAGUGUCAGUUACCUUUUCACCACACCAAUGGGGGUAUUACAAUUUCAACACCAGGAGGCAGGGUUGCCACCUACCAAAUCAACAAGAAUGUGCCUAUAAAGUUUGGUAGUCUGAUAAUCAAAACCAACCUCCUCAUUUUGGGUUUGGAUAGUGUGGAUAUCAUAUUGGGAACUGACUGGUUGACCAAACAUCAGGCAGUGAUUGAUAUUGCAGCUAGGGCCAUUGAAGUGCACUCAUCGACGUGUGGUGAAACCACAUUAUAUUUGCCCGACCAGGGUUGUACCCGUUCUUGUGCCUUCGUUAUGAUAGAGUCCCCAGUGGAAAGGAUCCAAGUGGUCUGUGACUACCUAGAUGUUUUUCCGGAUGAAUUGCAAGGGAUGCCACUUGACCAAGACAUCGAGUUCGCAAUCGAAUUGCAACCCGGGACUGCUCCUAUUUCCAAGAGACCCUAUAAGAUGCCUCCCGCGGAAAUUGGCAGAACUGAAAAAGCAACUGCAAGAGUUGUUGGACAAUGGGUUCAUUCGCCCAAGUACUUCACCGUGGGGAUGUCCGGCCUUGUUCGUAAAGAAGAAGGAUGAGAGUUUGAGAAUGUGUGUUGAUUACCGCCCUCUCAAUGCGGUGACCAUCAAGAACAAGUACCCACUGCCCCGCAUUGAUGUUUUGUUUGAUCAGUUGGUGGGAGCCAAGAUAUUCUCCAAGAUAUACCUAUGCUCGGGCUACCAUCAAAUCAAGAUCCGUGCCAGUGAUAUUCCGAAGACGGCUUUCUCGACCAGAUAUGGGAUUUAUGAGUUAUUGGUGAUGUCUUUUGGGCUGACCAAUGCCCCGACUUAUUUCAUGUACCUGAUGAACUCAGUAUUCAUGCCAGAGCUGGACAAGUUCGUUGUUGUUUUCAUUGAUGAUAUUCUGGUCUAUUCCAAGAAUGAAGACGAACAUACUGAGCAUCUGCACAUCGUGCUUCAGCGACUGCGCGAUCAUCGUCUUUAUGCUAAGUUGUCUAAAUGUGAGUUCUGGCUAAAGGAAAUUAAAUUCUUGUGUCACACAAUUUCUCAGGAUGGGAUAUAAGUUGAUCCUGAGAAGGUACAAGAAGUAAUGGAUUGGAAACCUCCUACCACAUGGCGGCAGAUUCAGAGUUUUCUAGGAUUGACAGGGUAUUAUCGACGAUUUAUUCCGGAUUUCUCCAGAAUUGCCAAGCCAAUGACUGAGUUAUUGAAGAAGGGAGUCAAAUAUGAUUGGAGCCAGAAGUGUAAGGAUGCCUUUCAUACACUAAGGCAGCAUUUGACAACAGCCCCAGUGCUAGCUCAACCUGAUAACACCAAGCCCCUUGAAGUUUAUUGUGAUGCUUCCGGUACUAGAUUGGGAUGCGUCUUAAUGCAAGAUAACAGAGUGAUUGCUUAUGCCUCCCGAGCACUCAGACCCCAUGAGCAGAACUACCCUACACAUGAUCUGGAGUUAGCAGAUGUGGUUCAUGCUCUCAAGAUAUGGAGACAUUACUUGAUGGGGGCUCACUGUAACAUUUACACUGAUCAUAAGAGUCUUAAAUACGUUUUCACUCAGGCAGAUCUUAACAUGAGGUAGAGAAGAUGGUUAGAGCUAAUCAAGGACUAUGAUUUGGAGGUGCAUUACCACCCUAGUAAAGCCAAUGUUGUGGCAGAUGCCUUGAGCAGGAAGGCCCAGUGCAAUUGUAUGAGCAUGGAUGCAAGAGUUACCACCCUGUGUGAUGAGUUGUGCAAGUUGAACCUAGAAGUUGUUUCUUCAGGUGCCUUAAGUUAUAUCUCGGUGGAGCCCACAUUACAAGAGCAAAUAGUUAGGGCACAAAUUGAAGACAAGGGUGUUCAGGUUAUCAAGGAAAUGAUCAAGCAGAAAGCAGAAAAAUACAAAUGCUUCCGUCAAGAUUGCAAAGGUGUUCUAUGGUUUGGAGAACGAUUGGUUGUUCCCAAGGUCCCUGAGCUCAGAAAGAAGAUAUUGGAUGAAGCUCACCUUUCAAAAUUCUCCAUGCACCCCGGCAGCUACAAGAUGUAUCAUGAUCUCAGAUCCUUAUACUGGUGGACCAGAAUGAAGAGGGAAAUUGCCAAGUACAUAUCCGAAUGUGACACUUGCCAGAGAAUCAAGGCCAGUCAUUUGAAGACAGCAGGCCCUUUGCAACCCCUCCCCAUACCAUCUUGUAAAUGGGAGGACAUUUGCAUUGACUUUAUCGUGGGAUUGCCCAAUACCUCCCGACACCAUGAUUCCAUUUGGGUUAUUGUGGACAGAUUGACCAAGUUAGCUCAUUUCUUGCCAGUACACACCACCCACAGGACGGAGAAGUAUGCGGAAAUCUACAUUGACCAGAUAGUUCGUUUGCAUGGAAUACCAAGGAGUAUAGUAUCGGACACAGGAGCACCAUUUGUGGCAUGAUUUUGGGAGAAAUUGCAGGAAUCACUUGGGACCCAUGUAAUACGAAGCUCAGCAUACCAUCCUCAAAAAGAUGGCCAGACCGAAAGGGUAAAUCAGAUUUUGGAAGACAUGUUGAGGGCAUGUUGUAAUAUCCCAAAAAAUAUUGACCAAAAGUUGAUCUUCGUUGCGUGGAUGAGGGAAAGAGUUGUGGCCCGUUGGAUGCAAAGUCAGGAGACAUCUGAGGCGUCGUUUCUUUCUCCCACAAAACCCUAGUGGUCGCCCCCUCCCUUUUCCCUUUUCUUGGCCGCCAACACCCCCUUUUCCCCACCUUUGGCCGCCCCUCCCCCUUCCCCUUGCAGCCGCCCUCCACUGCUUCCUCCUCCCUCUAGAUCUCCCCCCAUGCAGCAAGGAUCGAGAUGAGGAGGAGCAAGAUGGAUUGAAAAGGAAGAGAGGAUCAAGGAGAUGUUCUACCCCCAUCUCUUGCAGAUUUUCUUGGGGAAACCCUAGGUAAGGAUGGGAUCCUUGUUCCUCCGUAUAAUUAUGUGCUUUUGGAGGUUGUGGAUCAUGUGGAUUGAAGGAUUAGAGGUUGGAUUAGAUGUGGGGUUAGGUUUUGAUCUCGAAUUUAAUUUCUGCAGAAUGGCAGAUUCGACAGUUUCUGUUCAUGCCAGUUUUCCGUGGUCUUAGUGGCCUCAAAAAAAUAAAAAGUCUAUAUAUGAGUCGUAGAUAAUUUAUAGAUCUUUCUGUGGACGCGAAGAACACAAGAACAGAAAGUUAUUGCAGUUUGAUUAUAGCAGUUUUUUAGUCUCAUAAUUCUGUGCAGAAUCUGUUCUCUUAAGAGUUAGGCAAUUUUAUCAACAGAAUUAAAAUGUGGGUUGGUAAAAGAAGUUGUAGAUAAUUUCAUAAGCUUUCCAGAUUGUUAAAGAGUGCAUUCAUAUGAUUUAUGAAACUCCAGUUAUGUUUGUUUUACUGUGGUUGUUACUGUUUGCCUGACAAAAAUGAGCGGGUCUGUUCACUGAUGGGUUUCAUCUAGUAAAUGGCCGAAUUGGCUCUUCCAACUAUGGAGACUUUUGUAGAGGGAUAAAAGUUCUUACUGUCAGCAGAAUUUAAUAAUUUUUGGUUUAGUAGUUUGGGAGAUAUCGAAUUUUGAAGUUAACUAGGCUGCUGUCUAAAACAGAUUCAGUUAGUUAUCUUGUCAGAUUUUUAGAACUUAUUGAUGGCAGAAUUUAAUUAUCCAUUCAAUACCGAAGUUGUAGAGUAUUUUGUGUAGAUACUCCUAGAGUAUUUUUUGAUAUCACCACUGUUUUAAUUUUAAAGAUACAAAAUUAACAAACAGUGUUGCUGCUGUAUGGCAUGUGGUUCAGGGUGGGAGUCUUUCCACUGGGUCUUGGUUUCAAGUGUAGGAGUGUUUUGUUGAUCGUUGGCAAAUGUUUGUGAAAUAUUUGUACUAAGUUUUAUGCCCACUAGCAGGUGGCUACACUCCAGAUCAUGCCUAGUACAUUUUUCUUCUUCGAUGAAGGCAAGUGAAUGUAGUGGUGGUUGCUUCCGUUCUGACCUGUUAUUUCUAUUGCCUACACUCUAAUAUUUAGAAGUAUUGGAUUAUUUCAUAAUUGGACUCACCCCAGGUGUCAGUUUAGUGUUAUGACGGGAGAUUAAUCCUAAUCUCGGAUGCUCAGUAAAAAUUUCUCUUUCUCACUCGCGUAUGUCUCUGAUUAUCCAGCUUAUUCAUUCACAUUUCACCGAAUUCAGAAUUAUUCAAUCUCACAGAAGGCCAAAUUUGGAGCAUGUUAAAACUUUUAUUUCUCGGAACGAAUGCAAACUCAAAAAUCAUUCUCGAUUUAUAAAUCUUGUCUAAAGCUCGUUUAAUCAAGCGCUCGACAGUUGCUAGUCGAGCUGUGUCUGAAUCCAAUUUUCUCGAUGUUCUAUCUAUGUCCAAAAAUUUAUCCGACUCCGUACUCUCAAACGGAAUGCUUAAUAUGUCGUCAUCAAAUCAAUUUAUCCGACUCGGCUAAAUAUCUCAUGUCCGAACCAAAUUCACAACCCGCAUCGACAGUGCUUUUAAAAAUAUCACGAUUCGCCUUCUCCGGCUAAAAAUCCAAAGUCGAUCAAAUCUUAAGACGAUUUAUUUUCCAAUCACACGUAGGGAAUUAAUUUUCGAGCGAAUUCAAAACAGACUCUCGGCCGAGUUAAUCGCGCAACCUUCCGUUCGCCGAAACUCUAAUUCGCUCUGUUCUCUGUAGAAACGAAUUCCGCAACAGCAUUUUUUAUUCCAGGAAAUAAUUUAGCGCAGCCCGUUUGCGUGUUUGGGCCAACCCAAACCAGCCCAAUUGGGCCCAUUGGAAACCCUAACCCUAGGGCCUUCUAUAAAUAGAACCCCUCUCCCCUUGCAAACUGGAUUUUAUUCAUCUACCCCCCUAGCCGCCAUUUUCUUUUUCCCUGUCCCUUUCUUCCACACGGCAGCACGCAGGGAGCUCCCUCCCUGGAUCCAUGGCGUCCAAGCCCCUGUGCCCUCUCUCCCAUGGCGUGAGGCCCCUACUCCUAACUCUCUACCAGCGCCCAGCCAUGGUGGUCGCCGACCUCCCUGCUCCCGGCUGUUGCUCGCCUUGCUUGGAUGAGAAGCAGCCGAGCGCCCUCCCUGUCCUCUUGGUGCGAGCUCCCUGUUCCUGUCUUCCUCACGGCUGCGCGCAGGAGCUCCUCCCAGGGCCGCCGAGCUCCAUGUCCAUGGCGUGGAGCAGCAGCUCCCAUUCCCCUGCGAACCUCCCUGUCCAUGGCCACAAAUCCUUUCGCCCUUCUCUGCGCAGCGCCCCUGCUGUGUUUCUCCCGGCGAGCUCUCUGCUCUCGGCCGCUGGCAGCCAUGGCGCCCAGAAAAAUCCCACAGCCGAACUCCCCCAGCCGAGCCCCCAAGCAGCGCCCUCCCUGCUCCAUAGCUCAAGCCCGAGCUCACCCCCCUGGCGCUUGGAUCCCUGGAACGCAGCAGCUCUGCCCUCUCUCCCAUGGUUGUCCAGCCCCCUACUCCAAGGGCGUGAGCGCGCAGGGAUUUGCUCGACGCUGCAGCGCCCAGCCAUGGGGGCUGUAGGCCGAGCCCCUUUCCCGUGGACAGCCCCAACCUCCUCCUCUCUUCCCCACAAAACAGCAGACCCUAUGCCGAUCUUGUUCGUCUCGCUGCCACCGCUGCGCGCAUGCCUAGUGUUCGGCAUAAUGUCGAGGGAGAUGUGUUGUUACAUCACGCCGUGAUGCCGCCGUGUGUUCGCUGUUUUUGCGCAACCCCCUCCGCGACGCCGUCAAAACCCGUGGUGAGAAACACCCCGCUGCCCCUGCUGCUAUCCUAUUUUCUUUUGUGUGUGCUCGGUAAAAUGUUGAAAUGUUGUGUGUGUUUCAUCACAGCUAGCCGUCAAUGCCAUCCGUCGCGCACGCGUGUUCGAUGCGAGGCCGGUCGGGUGAACCACAUGCAUGCACAACUCAAAUCUGAUCCCGUUCAGGUUGAUUGAUUUAUAGUUUACCAUACGUAUGAUUUGGUUGAUGUCAUGCAGUGCACGUAUAUGUGUGGAUGUGUGUAAAAUGUUUUGGUUAUACGCAUUAGUAGAUUCGCAUUUGCGGUUGGAGAACAAGAAGUCGUUUGCUGUGUGCGAUUUGUAGUUUGUCUAAAUACAUUUUGGUCGAUGUGGUGUGUAUUGGUGUUUGAAUAUAUGUGGCUGCGAUGAUUCAUUUAUGUGUCACGAGGAUGGUUCGUGGAUGGUAUUAGUCGUUGGUUAAAAUACUUCGUCAUAAAGCAGUGUGUUAGUCGUGGUAAAUCUAAUAAAACGUAAAGCAUGUUUGGUGGUUUCCGCAGUCGGCUAAUGAGUUAGUCUAUGUUAAAUAUAUUUUAUGUGUUCCUCGUGGUGUAAGAUAGAGUGGGUCGAAGAUAUAAACUAUGAGACAUGUGAUUUUUGUUUAAGGACGAGAGGUGCGAACAAUCGGUUAGUGUUUCACUUGUCUAGUCGAUAAAUGUGGUCAUAAAUAAUUGUGCUCGACAUACAUGUUUGGUCGUUGUAUCACUUCCUCUAUAAUUAUAAGUCGAGUCAAAAUGCGGGAUACUAGUGGUACGCUAGACGGGUGGUGUCCAAAUAAAUUAACCGGUCGAUGUGGUGGUUGUCGUGUGUGAUUUAUUGUUAGUGAGUAGUUUGAAUUACGAGCUAUAUGAGGACUAUGUUGGAAACUAGUAGGCGGUGUGUAACUGCGUUCGUUUGGUGAAUAAUAGGUCGGUAGGUAAUUGUUGGUGUCAGUAGCAAAUGUAGUCUUAUGGAGUUUUACGCCAUGUGUAAAUGCCUCCACGAUAGACCCCAAAAAUGUACUAUUUAGGUGACUUGCGUGUUAACUAAUUCGAGUUGAGCAGUGGUUGAGAAACACUUAUUAAUCGGCUCCAACCCAUGUUUUUGAGUUACGAUGUCUAAAAUGGUUCGCUAAGUCUUAUACUGUGAUUAGCCAACUCAUGUUAAGUAGGAGUCGAUUGCGUAAGUGAUUGUGAUAUAUAGGUUGUGUCUAGGAUUGCGAUAAUAAUGGGCAAGCCGAUGUGUAUGGUGUAUAGCGGCCUAUGUGAUUGCGCUAGUUAGCCGAAUUGUUAGACGCCUUUGGUUAAAGCUCAUAAUCACGAUAAAUUGCUUGUUGUGGUCUAAAUGUGUAUAGUUGUGGUCGCGGGCAAAAGAGUAGUAGUGCUCAUGUGAUGUCUAAUUUAAAACACAAAUUGUUGGGUGAUUAUCGUGAAGAAUGUGUUGUUAAUUGGUUGUAGUAAUUUUAGUGCGCUAAAUAACUUGGAUGAAAAUUAGUGAGUCUACUUGUUAGUCUUCAUAUGAUUAUUUUAACUCUAACAAUUGGUAAAGUGUUAGAAUAAUUCAAGUCUCUAGAACGCGGCAAUUCUUGAAUUGUAUAGAAGCUGAAAUGUAUUGAUUGCUGUUUUGGACUGCACAUACUGUUUUCGGUGUGCUGUAUGUUUGAUGAACUAAAUUGUGUUUUCUGUAGAUAUGUGCUAUAGAAAAGUGGUAGAUAACUUUAUUAUCUUGCUGGUGUUAAAAUUUGACAGCCAUAGGUCUAACAGUUUAGGAGUUAUGCUGUUCACAAAUUCAGUAACUGAAUCUGUCCAAAUUCUGUACAGAUUUCAGAAAUUGUAUUGUUUGUUCAAUUUAAUGUUGCAAUCUGUUCAUGGUCGUCAUAAGAAAGUUGUAGAUUCUUUUCUGAUAUUUCUUGUGUUAAAAUUUGAUAACCACAGGCCUGAUAGUUUAAGAGUUAUGAAUUUUACAAACUGCUUGCUGUGUUCUGUCCACUGUCAGGGCAGAUUUCGAAAACUGUAAUGUUUGAUUGGAUUAAAUCUGGAAUCACUUCUUUGUGAUUAUAAAAGUUAUGUAGUGCUUUUGCUGAGCUUUCCAAAAAGUCUUGGAUCACUAUUUUUGGUGAUCUGAAGAUUAAGUUAUGGAUGUUUAAAGUCUGAAGAUUGAAUCUGUCCAAUUCUGGACAGCAGAGUCUUCUAGUGUAUUUUAUCCUUAGUUAAAUAUUGAAUCACCUUAAGAUGUUUAUAAAUGAUAUGUAGACAAUUUUAUUACCUUUCCAGAAAGUCUAGAAUCAGUUUGUUUGGAUGUCUAAAUCUCCAGUUGUGAAUUUUUGAAGUUGCAAGUCUGAAUCUGUCCAAAUCUGGACAGCGCUGUUGUAUUAGCACGUUUUGACCUUGCUAAGUGCUGAAUCAUGUUGUAAUGACAAUACCAAAGUUGUAGAGCACUUUCUAAGAUUUCCAGAAAGUCCCAGUUUUCUAUUUUUGGAUUAAUAAUUGAAGAGAUAUGAUUAAAACAAGUAACUGCUGUACUGCUGUCCUAAAAAUCUGCAUGUGCUCAAUUAAUUGUUAGUUCACCCUUUUUGGCUAAAAAUGGUUGGUUAGCACUAAAUUCAUAUAGAAUUGCCAUGGCUAAGCUUGAGAUAACAUAUGUGUCAUGUUUUUAUAUGUUUCUUUCUCUAGUAAAUUGUGAUGUAGUAUUGUGUUGCGUAAAUGUCCAAAAUGUUUGUCGUCUUUUUAGUGGUGUUAAUGUUGUGCGUUCGACAAUAUGUAGUUAGCUAACGCUAGUGGGUGUGGUUGCUUGUGAUGUCUCGCUACUUAGUGUUUAAUUCGCUAGCGUGUACCUAAAGUAUCUUGUGCUAUUCCAUUAUAUUCAUACAUAUGCAUCUUGCAUCUCAUAUAGGACCGAGAGGUGACGACCGUGCAAGUGAUGUGGUGCCAACCACAAGAUGCAGUUGGUGGACGUACUGAAGAAUGGUGGACUUAACCAGUGGAUGCUCGCCGAGCGAGUACCCUCCCCCAACAAACACUAUCAAAGUGUCAAAUUAAAGGCAAGCCCCGGUUUUAUGCAUAACCUGUUAUUUAUGCUAUUUUACUUCACUUAAUGAUUGUAGGAUUGAUUGUGCACUUAGGUGUAGGAAUUGUUUGAAGCCCUAGUUGCAUGAUCUCAGGAAUCCUUUUGAAAUGAAUACUAGUAUGACAGGUCGAGUAGUUGCUUUAUUUAAUUAGGAUCUCGGUAGAAGACGAGUGAUUUUUCUAGCACUCGCGCGAGAUCAGGAAAUUGAUUGUACCCACUUUCACAUUGUCAUGAUACUAGUUGGUGGACAACAAUCCAUGGGGAUUGGUUGUUUACAAGGUAAAAAUGGGAAUAAGGAUUAAGGUGUGGUACCGUGUGUCAAGCGUUUGAACGUACUAAACACAUACCGAGAAAUAUGGUAAAUCGGUAAGCCUAGUACCUGAUUGAACCUGGCAGUAGACUUUGCCCCUCACGCGACCUGAGACGAGGUCUCCCAUUCCGGUUAUGGUGGGUACAAGUGCGGUCACUGCACGACGGCCAGUCGGGGUCAGUGAGGCAUUGUACGCCAAGGCGGUGAGCCCUGAUCUGCUGACGGGGAAUCGAUGGGGACGGUUGAUGUGUGUGGGGACGGAAUGCCCCUGCAUGUCGUGUGUUUAGGUUUACCUUGCAAGGAUAAAAACUCGAUUCGAAUCGUCUGCUUCUCGCAGCUAAUGAGACUGCUUGAUCCAUGCUGCUACAUUGAGUAAUAAGUGGAAAUGUGGUGACCGGCAAAAGAUGUUGAUUGAUAAAAUGUUUGAUACCAUGUAUGACUAGCUAGGUACACAUCUAGUUCUAAAGGAUUCCACUAAAACUUGAAAAGCUAAAACUUGUUUUUAGACUCAGCUAGUGCUUUUGGCAAACCAAACCCCUCAGCCAAACAGCUGCAUGUCUAGAGGUAGAGGAGUAGACUCCUCACACCGGGUAAGUCUAGCUGAGUAUUAGUAUACUCAGCCUUGCUUGUGGCACAAUUUUUUGCAGGUACUCCUUAGGAUGAUUUGUUGCUGGUGUGACUUGGCCUUCAUCCCUGCCACCGGGAUAGACGGUCGAGUGGGUUAUUGCUUCCGCAGGAGAGGACCAGGAGGAGUAGCGUGGCCAGGCUUCGCCAUGUUACUCGGUUUUCUCCGUUAGUUAUUUCCGCUGCAUUAAAAUUUAUGGUUAUUAUUUCUGAAACUCCGAUAAUGUAAUCACUAAUGAUACUCCGUAAAUUUGUGGUAUUAUGCUUUAUUGUAUUUCUCUGUGCCUCACCUUCGAGUGAGCUAGUGGUAUUCGAUCCUGGUAAGUGGCUUUAUCGGACUAGAUCCGAGGGACUGACGGGUUAUUCCUGUUUAAGUGUGUUGCUGCCCUUAAGGGUGCGACUUGGGCACUUAAGCUGGAAUAAUUCAGGCGGUUCCGCCACAGCUGGUAUCGGAGCGAAUACCAUUACAGAGAAGUCAAUAAGUCAUGAUUACCAACCUUUUCAAAAGUAAAACUUGCUUAAAAACCCAGUUGGAUAGAUGUCAGGACGAUCAGGAUAGACCUAGGACGUGAAGCUUUAGGAAAUAGAUGGGUAGUUAGGUGGCUAUUUAUUUAGGCCAUAAAGGCUACUACUACUAUUAAUAAGGAUGCUGUAGAAGCACCCGAAAAAUUAGUUAGGUCUGAGAAGACGACUAGAAUGAGCAUGCAUCAUGGUUGUCGCAUCAUUGUCUCUUGUGCACCAACAUGCUUCCCUCACCUUUAUUCCAAUAAUAAGAACUUGUGAAUAAUGUAAUGUACUGCUAUGUUAGGAACUAUAAGAAAUGCCUUACCUUGUGUUGGAUUGGUAAGUCAUGUUAGGCGUGUUAUGUGUUUCUCUUGCCUUGCUAUCUAGGUGGUAUUGAAAUUGUUCAACCCUUUUUGCAAAAAAAAAUGUGUGUUGUUUGUUUCCUCAUAAAAAGACACCCCCACUUUAAACAACCUUGAGUUUAGCGAGUGAAACCUCAAAAAAAAAAUAGUUAUGCUUGUGUUAGUGUUUUUCUAACCCUUGUGUGUUUUACCCAUAAAGUUACACCUGCACAGCUUAUAGAACCCCACAGCUUGACCGCUAGACCAACCCCAGUCUCCUUGUGCACUUGUUGCGUCAAAAAAAAAUCGUUUGGUGUCUAGUUGCGCAAACCCUAUCAAGGCCAUGUUUCUUUCCAUAAAUCCUUACACCUAAAACUUCAUAGCAUUCCUGUUGAUCAUCCAGCUGAUCUAGUUGACGACCUCUCUUUUCACCUGGAUCUAGUACUCUCUUUCCUUGUGAAUCAUGUUGUGGCUUUAUCAUCCGAAUCUCUCGAUCCCUUAAUGAUUCUGCCCCGUUAUCUGGUUAUCUGCUAUAACCCGCUCUCAAGUAUCGAAUGUUGAUCUUGCCUAAAUCUCUCAUUUCUGGUCAUUCUCAUACCCCCUUCUCUGAGGAUCAUGACGCUUGUUUUAUCAACUUAUCUCUAAAUGGCAUAUCCAUUUGGUUCAAUGGAUUUGAUUGUUGUCCUUUGUUCUCUCAUGUCUCUAAAAGCUCAUCAAUCUUGAUCUCAUGGUUGGUUCCUCCUCGUAUUAAAUAUCGUAUCAAUUUUUGGCUGAUAAUCCUCCUAAUGAUCAUAAAAUAGUUCUCUAAGUUGAAGAGUUCUCAUGUGAUGCUCUUUUGCUAAUAAUCUCUACUUCAACUUCGAUCACAUUCUUAUUUUCUGAGCCAUACUCUUAUGGGCUCCAUCUAUCUUUGCUAUGUGGAUUUCUUAUUGGUUACGUUUGGUAAUGGCGUCAUGACUAACGACUGAUGGUGCCGCGACGAAACCGAGAGCCUACUAUGGUGCACACAUGGUUGAGCUGCUCGGCACGCGCUGGUAUCGUGGUUAAUAGUCGUGUCCAUUACGAGACUAUACUGAUGUGCUAUCUUUUGUGGAUAUUCUCUCAAAGUGAUCGCUGCAUUUUGUCUCAACAUGCCGCGAUAUUCUAUCCAAAUCUAUCUUCUGUAUCUUGUCAGAUCCCAUCUCAUGAAUUUGCAUCUAUCUUUAGUCUGGGAGUUACAUGCUUCUCCACCCUUAAAUAUCCUCAUUCGAAUCUCGGGACGAGAUUCUUUUUAAGGGGGGAAGGCUGUGACACCCCAGGUGUCAGUUUAGUGUUAUGACGGGAGAUUAAUCCUAAUCUCGGAUGCUCAGUAAAAAUUUCUCUUUCUCACUCGCGUAUGUCUCUGAUUAUCCAGCUUAUUCAUUCACAUUUCACCGAAUUCAGAAUUAUUCAAUCUCACAGAAGGCCAAAUUUGGAGCAUGUUAAAACUUUUAUUUCUCGGAACGAAUGCGAACUAAAAAAUCAUUCUCGAUUUAUAAAUCUUGUCUAAAGCUCGUUUAACCAAGCGCUCGACAGUUGCUAGUCGAGCUGUGUCUGAAUCCAAUUUUCUCGAUGUUCUAUCUAUGUCCAAAAAUUUAUCCGACUCCGUACUCUCAAACGGAAUGCUUAAUAUGUCGUCAUCAAAUCAAUUUAUCCGACUCGGCUAAAUAUCUCAUGUCCGAACCAAAUUCACAACCCGCAUCGACAGUGCUUUUAAAAAUAUCACGAUUCGCCUUCUCCGGCUAAAAAUCCAAAGCCGAUCAAAUCUUAAGACGAUUUAUUUUCCAAUCACACGUAGGGAAUUAAUUUUCGAGCGAAUUCAAAACAGACUCUCGGCCGAGUUAAUCGCGCAACCUUCCGUUCGCCGAAACUCUAAUUCGCUCUGUUCUCUGUAGAAACGAAUUCCGCAGCAGCAUUUUUUAUUCCAGGAAAUAAUUUAGCGCAGCCCGUUUGCGUGUUUGGGCCAACCCAAACCAGCCCAAUUGGGCCCAUUGGAAACCCUAACCCUAGGGCCUUCUAUAAAUAGAACCCCUCUCCCCUUGCAAACUGAAUUUUAUUCAUCUACCCCCCUAGCCGUCAUUUUCUUUUUCCCUGCCCCUUUCUUCCACACGGCAGCACGCAGGGAGCUCCCUCCCUGGAUCCAUGGCGUCCAAGCCCCUGUGCCCUCUCUCCCAUGGCGUGAGGCCCCUACUCCUAACUCUCUACCAGCGCCCAGCCAUGGUGGUCGCCGACCUCCCUGCUCCCGGCUGUUGCUCGCCUUGCUUGGAUGAGAAGCAGCCGAGCGCCCUCCCUGUCCUCUUGGCGCGAGCUCCCUGUUCCUGUCUUCCUCACGGCUGCGUGCAGGAGCUCCUCCCAGGGCCGCCGAGCUCCAUGUCCAUGGCGUGGAGCAGCAGCUCCCAUUCCCCUGCGAACCUCCCUGUCCAUGGCCACAAAUCCUUUCGCCCUUCUCUGCGCAGCGCCCCUGCUGUGUUUCUCCCGGCGAGCUCUCUGCUCUCGGCCGCUGGCAGCCAUGGCGCCCAGAAAAAUCCCACAGCCGAACUCCCCCAGCCGAGCCCCCAAGCAGCGCCCUCCCUGCUCCAUAGCUCAAGCCCGAGCUCACCCCCUGGCGCUUGGAUCCCUGGAACGCAGCAGCUCUGCCCUCUCUCCCAUGGUUGUCCAGCCCCCUACUCCAAGGGCGUGAGCGCGCAGGGAUUUGCUCGACGCCGCAGCGCCCAGCCAUGGGUGCUGUAGGCCGAGCCCCUUUCCCGUGGACAGCCCCAACCUCCUCCUCUCUUCCCCACAAAACAGCAGACCCUAUGCCGAUCUUGUUCGUCUCGCUGCCACCGCUGCGCGCAUGCCUAGUGUUCGGCAUAAUGUCGAGGGAGAUGUGUUGUUACAGCACGCCGUGAUGCCGCCGUGUGUUCGCUGUUUUUGCGCAACCCCCUCCGCGACGCCGUCAAAACCCGUGGUGAGAAACACCCCGCUGCCCCUGCUGCUAUCCUAUUUUCUUUUGUGUGUGCUCAGUAAAAUGUUGAACUGUUGUGUGUGUUUCAUCACAGCUAGCCGUCAAUGCCAUCCGUCGUGCACGCGUGUUCGAUGCGAGGCCGGUCGGGUGAACCACAUGCAUGCACAACUCAAAUCUGAUCCCGUUCAGGUUGAUUGAUUUAUAGUUUACCAUACGUAUGAUUUGGUUGAUGUCAUGCAGUGCACGUAUAUGUGUGGAUGUGUGUAAAAUGUUUUGGUUAUACGCAUUAGUAGAUUCGCAUUUGCGGUUGGAGAACAAGAAGUCGUUUGCUGUGUGCGAUUUGUAGUUUGUCUAAAUACGUUUUGGUCGAUGUGGUGUGUAUUGGUGUUUGAAUAUAUGUGGCUGCGAUGAUUCAUUUAUGUGUCACGAGGAUGGUUCGUGGAUGGUAUUAGUCGUUGGUUAAAAUACUUCGUCAUAAAGCAGUGUGUUAGUCGUGGUAAAUCUAAUAAAACGUAAAGCAUGUUUGGUGGUUUCCGCAGUCGGCUAAUGAGUUAGUCUAUGUUAAAUAUAUUUUAUGUGUUCCUCGUGGUGUAAGAUAGAGUGGGUCGAAGAUAUAAACUAUGAGACAUGUGAUUUGUGUUUAAGGACGAGAGGUGCGAACAAUCGGUUAGUGUUUCACUUGUCUAGUCGAUAAAUGUGGUCAUAAAUAAUUGUGCUCGACAUACAUGUUUGGUCGUUGUAUCACUUCCUCUAUAAUUAUAAGUCGAGUCAAAAUGCGGGAUACUAGUGGUACGCUAGACGGGUGGUGUCCAAAUAAAUUAACCGGUCGAUGUGGUGGUUGUCGUGUGUGAUUUAUUGUUAGUGAGUAGUUUGAAUUACGAGCUAUAUGAGGACUAUGAUGGAAACUAGUAGGCGGUGUGUAACUGCGUUCGUUUGGUGAAUAAUAGGUCGGUAGGUAAUUGUUGGUGUCAGUAGCAAAUGUAGUCUUAUGGAGUUUUACGCCAUGUGUAAAUGCCUCCACGAUAGACCCCAAAAAUGUACUAUUUAGGUGACUUGCAUGUUAACUAAUUCGAGUUGAGCAGUGGUUGAGAAACACUUAUUAAUCGGCUCCAACCCAUGUUUUUGAGUUACGAUGUCUAAAAUGGUUCGCUAAGUCUUAUACUGUGAUUAGCCAACUCAUGUUAAGUAGGAGUCGAUUGCGUAAGUGAUUGUGAUAUAUAGGUUGUGUCUAGGAUUGCGAUAAUAAUGGGCAAGCCGAUGUGUAUGGUGUAUAGCGGCCUAUGUGAUUGCGCUAGUUAGCCGAAUUGUUAGACGCCUUUGGUUAAAGCUCAUAAUCACGAUAAAUUGCUUGUUGUGGUCUAAAUGUGUAUAGUUGUGGUCGCGGGCAAAAGAGUAGUAGUGCUCAUGUGAUGUCUAAUUUAAAACACAAAUUGUUGGGUGAUUAUCGUGAAGAAUGCGUUGUUAAUUGGUUGUAGUAAUUUUAGUGCGCUAAAUAACUUGGAUGAAAAUUAGUGAGUCUACUUGUUAGUCUUCAUAUGAUUAUUUUAACUCUAACAAUUGGUAAAGUGUUAGAAUAAUUCAAGUCUCUAGAACGCGGCAAUUCUUGAAUUGUAUAGAAGCUGAAAUGUAUUGAUUGCUGUUUUGGACUGCACAUACUGUUUUCGGUGUGCUGUAUGUUUGAUGAACUAAAUUGUGUUUUCUGUAGAUAUGUGCUAUAGAAAAGUGGUAGAUAACUUUAUUAUCUUGCUGGUGUUAAAAUUUGACAGCCAUAGGUCUAACAGUUUAGGAGUUAUGCUGUUCACAAAUUCAGUAACUGAAUCUGUCCAAAUUCUGUACAGAUUUCAGAAAUUGUAUUGUUUGUUCAAUUUAAUGUUGCAAUCUGUUCAUGGUCGUUAUAAGAAAGUUGUAGAUUCUUUUCUGAUCUUUCUUGUGUUAAAAUUUGAUAACCACAGGCCUGAUAGUUUAAGAGUUAUGAAUUUUACAAACUGCUUGCUGUGUUCUGUCCACUGUCAGGGCAGAUUUCGAAAACUGUAAUGUUUGAUUGGAUUAAAUCUGGAAUCACUUCUUUGUGAUUAUAAAAGUUAUGUAGUGCUUUUGCUGAGCUUUCCAAAAAGUCUUGGAUCACUAUUUUUGGUGAUCUGAAGAUUAAGUUAUGGAUGUUUAAAGUCUGAAGACUGAAUCUGUCCAAUUCUGGACAGCAGAGUCUUCUAGUGUAUUUUAUCCUUAGUUAAAUAUUGAAUCACCUUAAGAUGUUUAUAAAUGAUAUGUAGACAAUUUUAUUACCUUUCCAGAAAGUCUAGGAUCACUUUGUUUGGAUGUCUAAAUCUCCAGUUGUGAAUUUUUGAAGUUGCAAGUCUGAAUCUGUCCAAAUCUGGACAGCGCUGUUGUAUUAGCACGUUUUGACCUUGCUAAGUGCUGAAUCAUGUUGUAAUGACAAUACCAAAGUUGUAGAGCACUUUCUAAGAUUUCCAGAAAGUCCCAGUUUUCUAUUUUUGGAUUAAUAAUUGAAGAGAUAUGAUUAAAACAAGUAACUGCUGUACUGCUGUCCUAAAAAUCUGCAUGUGCUCAAUUAAUUGUUAGUUCACCCUUUUUGGCUAAAAAUGGUUGGUUAGCACUAAAUUCAUAUAGAAUUGCCAUGGCUAAGCUUGAGAUAACAUAUGUGUCAUGUUUUUAUAUGUUUCUUUCUCUAGUAAAUUGUGAUGUAGUAUUGUGUUGCGUAAAUGUCCAAAAUGUUUGUCGUCUUUUUAGUGGUGUUAAUGUUGUGCGUUCGACAAUAUGUAGUUAGCUAACGCUAGUGGGUGUGGUUGCUUGUGAUGUCUCGCUACUUAGUGUUUAAUUCGCUAGCGUGUACCUAAAGUAUCUUGUGCUAUUCCAUUAUAUUCAUACAUAUGCAUCUUGCAUCUCAUAUAGGACCGAGAGGUGACGACCGUGCAAGUGAUGUGGUGCCAACCACAAGAUGCAGUUGGUGGACGUACUGAAGAAUGGUGGACUUAACCAGUGGAUGCUUGCCGAGCGAGUACCCUCCCCCAACAAACACUAUCAAAGUGUCAAAUUAAAGGCAAGCCCCGGUUUUAUGCAUAACCUGUUAUUUAUGCUAUUUUACUUCACUUAAUGAUUGUAGGAUUGAUUGUGCACUUAGGUGUAGGAAUUGUUUGAAGCCCUAGUUGCAUGAUCUCAGGAAUCCUUUUGAAAUGAAUACUAGUAUGACAGGUCGAGUAGUUGCUUUAUUUAAUUAGGAUCUCGGUAGAAGACGAGUGAUUUUUCUAGCACUCGCGCGAGAUCAGGAAAUUGAUUGUAUCCACUUUCACAUUGUCAUGAUACUAGUUGGUGGACAACAAUCCAUGGGGAUUGGUUGUUUACAAGGUAAAAAUGGGAAUAAGGAUUAAGGUGUGGUACCGUGUGUCAAGCGUUUGAACGUACUAAACACAUACCGAGAAAUAUGGUAAAUCGGUAAGCCUAGUACCUGAUUGAACCUGGCAGUAGACUUUGCCCCUCACGCGACCUGAGACGAGGUCUCCCAUUCCGGUUAUGGUGGGUACAAGUGCGGUCACUGCACGACGGCCAGUCGGGGUCAGUGAGGCAUUGUACGCCAAGGCGGUG